This 61-nucleotide transfer RNA is filed under the name Ictidomys tridecemlineatus (thirteen-lined ground squirrel). Its description in RNAcentral is "Spermophilus tridecemlineatus (thirteen-lined ground squirrel) tRNA". It matches the Rfam family "tRNA", at positions 6 to 65 of the family's 71-position model. Rfam says of the family: Transfer RNA (tRNA) molecules are approximately 80 nucleotides in length. Their secondary structure includes four short double-helical elements and three loops (D, anti-codon, and T loops). Lineage: Eukaryota; Metazoa; Chordata; Mammalia; Rodentia; Sciuridae. The record is from Rfam by way of RNAcentral.
UGUAGCUCAAUGGUAGAGCACAUGCCUACCAUGCAAGAGGCCCUAGGUGCAAUCCCCAGCA